Molecule: ribosomal RNA, 372 nt
Filed under: uncultured organism
Description: bacterial SSU rRNA
Rfam family: Bacterial small subunit ribosomal RNA
Source: RNAcentral
CAGAGGGUGCAAACGUUGCUCGGAAUCACUGGGCGUAAAGGGCGUGUAGGCGGGAAGGAAAGUCAGAUGUGAAAUCCCUGGGCUCAACCCAGGAACUGCAUUUGAAACUCCCUUCCUUGAGUGUCGGAGAGGAAAGUGGAAUUCCUGGUGUAGAGGUGAAAUUCGUAGAUAUCAGGAGGAACACCGGUGGCGAAGGCGGCUUUCUGGACGACAACUGACGCUGAGACGCGAAAGCGUGGGGAGCAAACAGGAUUAGAUACCCUGGUAGUCCACGCUGUAAACGAUGAACACUAGGUGUCGUGGGUAUUGACCCCCGCGGUGCCGCAGCUAACGCAUUAAGUGUUCCGCCUGGGAAGUACGGUCGCAAGACUA